This 320-nucleotide ribosomal RNA is filed under the name uncultured eukaryote. RNAcentral's name for it is "partial 18S ribosomal RNA". It matches the Rfam family "Eukaryotic small subunit ribosomal RNA", at positions 1470 to 1796 of the family's 1831-position model. The record is from RNAcentral.
CCCUUAGAUGUUCUGGGCUGCACGCGCGUUACAAUCGGGAGUACAACAAGAUUGCAAAUCCUAGUGGAUGAGUGGUUCUUCGAAAUUUUCUGAAGACUGGGAUAGUUGAUUGAAAUUAUUCAACUCGAACGAGGAAUUCCUUGUAAUUGUAAUUCAUUAUAUUGUAAUGAAUACGUCCCUGCCCUUUGUACACACCGCCCGUCGCUCCUACCGAUUGAACGAUCCGGUGAAUUAUUUGGAGUAGCUCUGGAAGUUGCAGAACUUCCUAUGUCACGAAAUUUUGUAAACCUUAUCGUUUAGAGGAAGGAAAAGUCGUAACA